RNAcentral lists this ribosomal RNA (509 nucleotides) under uncultured microorganism. RNAcentral's name for it is "bacterial SSU rRNA". It matches the Rfam family "Bacterial small subunit ribosomal RNA", at positions 9 to 517 of the family's 1533-position model. The record is from RNAcentral.
GAGUUUGAUCAUGGCUCAGGAUGAACGCUGGCGGCGUGCUUAACACAUGCAAGUCGAGCGAAGCGCCUUAUUUGAUUUUCUUCGGAACUGAAGAUUUGGUGACUGAGUGGCGGACGGGUGAGUAACGCGUGGGUAACCUGCCCUGUACAGGGGGAUAACAAUCAGAAAUGACUGCUAAUACCGCAUAAGACCACAGCACCGCAUGGUGCAGGGGUAAAAACUCCGGUGGUACAGGAUGGACCCGCGUCUGAUUAGCUGGUUGGUGAGGUAACGGCUCACCAAGGCGACGAUCAGUAGCCGGCUUGAGAGAGUGAACGGCCACAUUGGGACUGAGACACGGCCCAAACUCCUACGGGAGGCAGCAGUGGGGAAUAUUGCACUAUGGGGGAAACCCUGAUGCAGCAACGCCGCGUGAGUGAAGAAGUAUUCGGUAUGUAAAGCUCUAUCAGCAGGGAAGAAAGUGACGGUACCUGACUAAGAAGCCCCGGCUAACUACGUGCCAGCAGCCG